This 300-nucleotide ribosomal RNA is filed under the name uncultured Thalassolituus sp. RNAcentral describes it as "bacterial SSU rRNA". It matches the Rfam family "Bacterial small subunit ribosomal RNA", at positions 114 to 423 of the family's 1533-position model. The record is from RNAcentral. Lineage: Bacteria; Pseudomonadati; Pseudomonadota; Gammaproteobacteria; Oceanospirillales; Oceanospirillaceae.
CGCGUAGGAAACUACCCAGUAGUGGGGGACAACAGUUGGAAACGACUGCUAAUACCGCAUACGCUCUACGGAGGAAAGGGGGCUUCGGCUCUCGCUAUUGGAUGUGCCUGCGUGAGAUUAGCUAGUUGGUGGGGUAAAGGCCUACCAAGGCAACGAUCUCUAGCUGGUCUGAGAGGAUGAUCAGCCACACUGGAACUGAGACACGGUCCAGACUCCUACGGGAGGCAGCAGUGGGGAAUAUUGCACAAUGGGCGCAAGCCUGAUGCAGCAACGCCGCGUGCGGGAAGAAGGCCCUAGGGU